GGCGGGGGAGGCGGGGCCUGGGGCGCUGCCGCGGGAGCUGCUCCGGGCGCCUGAGCGGUGGCGGCCACGGCGAGGAGCGCGAGGACGGAGAGGAUGGUGAGCUGAGAAGCGGCCAUUGUGCAAGCAAACCUUGGGUGGUUUCUUGGUGGCUCGCUUCUCGCUUCCUCUGCCUGCGCUGUGAGCUGAAAUGUGUGUGUGUGUGGGUGGGGGAGCGAUGGAGAGGCGCGGCGGGGCUUAUAAAGGAGGGCCGGAACUGAGCUGUGCGGUGGCGUUGCGUGGGACAGCGCCGAUGCAUUGUGCAGUAGCGGCUUGCAUGAUUGUUGGGUUGGCAUCUCUCCCACUCUCUCCCUCUCUCUCAUUAUUGAUUGAUGCUUUCUUUUUCUUCGGUAGGAAUCUUGAGGGAAAUCGAAUAAUGGGUGCGAUGAUGAACUGGUCGUAUAAUUGGGUUGGAAUAUAAAUGGGAAACUGUUUAUCGUAUUGAUAAUGAAGUGGUUUGGUUAAAAAAUGAUAAUGAGGUAGUUUGGUAAGAAAAAUGGGAUUAAUAACUAUUGGAUAUCUAGACAUGGUGGAUUGGAUUAUAAAUGGAACACUGUUUUAUUCCGCUAUCGUAAUGAUAAUGAAGUAGUUCAGUUAAAAAAUGAUAAUGAGGUAGUUUGGUAAGAAAAAAAUGGGAUUUAUAAUGGUUGGAUAUCUAGACAUGGUAGAUGGUGCUACCCGACGGUGAACACAGGCGGUGCUGCUUCUUCUGAACGCAACAGCUAAGAUCAACUCUAUUGGAGUCUUCCGGUUGUUCUCGGUCUCUGACGACGACGACAUGGACGGCGCCUCGACCUCCGUCUUUGAUUCCAUUAUUUAGGUGGUGGAUCCCAUGUGUCCUAUGGGUCCCACGCCACAACCUACUUCUGCACCUCUUGGGUUUCCAACAGUGGACCAUCACCACCUAAAUCGUCAAAGAGUUUGGCACAGAGGUGGCAGAGAAGGGACCAAAGAAGAAGACGGAGAAGGCUCGUGACCAUCUCAUCAUCGCUUCCUUCCGGCGACUUGCGAAACUAUGGCGCCUUUAAAGUCGUAUACACUGGGCCAGAAACAACGAUGAGGUAUAAAAAAAUUACCAUUUACCUUGUAUUUGGGUUCUUUGUCGAUUAAAUGCAACGUGGUUAUUGAAAAUUGCAGGGGAAAUGUGCAAUGUUUGCGAUUUAACGAUUUCUAAGUUUGGAGGGAUCGAUCUUUCACAAGGAAUCAAUUAUCAAUAGUAGGUUUGGUCAUUCCGUAACAAAUUAUGUCAAUCUCAAGGCCGUAUUGUUGCCACUUUUAGAUCAUCAGUUCGGACAAAAAUUAAAUUUGAUCAAUUGGAGGUUAUGGAUUGCGGAGGAAGAAAAUAGUUCGGGGAACUAACUUUAAGGCUAACGAGUAUAUUUUGAUUGUGUUGGCAUGGAAAGAUAUAUCUUUUGACGUGGUUGUCUGGAAAGAAAAAUCCAAGCGCAAAAUAGUGAAAGUGCACCAAGGAACGUUUCAAAUAUCAUCAUUAGGCGGAGAACGGAUCAUACCUUCAAAUCUCUCACAAAUCGAUGAGGUGACUUCAAAUCUAGGACAGAGGGAAAUCCACCACUAGAGCCAUCUUCAUCAACCUUGUCGCCUUCAUGGUCAUGUGUGAGUAGUUUCCUUAGGAGCUUAGUGUCCAUAGAAGUAUCUAGAUGGCAUCCUCUCUCCCUUGUGAUUCGAUAUAAAAUUUCUAUGAGCUGCCUCAUAUGAUUGGGAUGCAUAUAAUGUAAUCGGUGGUUGUGUUUGUUGGAAUAUGAUGAAUUGUCACUUUAUGAUCAGAUUGUUCACUAAAUUAUAUUGAAUCUUUUGAAGCUUUUGGCCGCAUAAUUUAGUAGCCAUGCUUGUCGUCUCUGUCCAAGAUUGUUAGGUAGUUCUUCACAGGGAGUUGUGCAUUGUAAUGGGUUCAAUCUUGAAGUGAUCUAUCCGAGUGACAGAAAGGGAACGAACAUGUAUUCUAUUCUUGCCAUUAAGGAUACAACGAUGGUUUAUUUAUCACAUUUAGAUGAUAGUUUUACUGUCUAUAUUAUGCCAUCAUGAAUGUUGCAAUGCUAUGCUUAUCAUGAACUUAAUACUUCGAGAUGCAUACUGGAUAGUGAUACGUCCAUUUUGCAUCAUGUUUCCUUACUGUUAUUUAUGAUGUUUUUAUGCAUAAUAAUGCUUUUUGGAGUAAUUAUAAUACCUUUUCUCUCAUGAUUUACAAGGUACACACAAAGAGGGAGAAUUCCGAUAGCUGGAAAUCUGGACCUGGAAAAGCUACGUCAGGCCACCUAUUAUGCACAACUCCAAACAAGUAGAAACUUCACGGAGAUUUUUUAUCAAAUAUAUGAUGAAUAUUGGAGCAAAUAACUAUCAGAGGGGGCCCACCAGGUGGGCACAACCCACCUGGGCGCGCCAGGGAGCCCAGGCGCACCGUGGUGGGUUGUGCUCACCCAGGCCCACCUCUGGUGCCCAUCUUCUGGUAUAUAGGUCAUUUUAACCUAGAAAAAAUAAGGAGGGGACUUUCGAGACAGAGCACCGCCAUCUCGAUGUGGAACUUGGGCAAGAGCACUUUUGUCCUCCGGCGGAGUGAUUUCGCUGGGGGGAUGAUACGUCCAUUUUGCAUCAUGCUUUUAUAUCGAUAUUUAUUGCAUUAUGGGCUGUUAUUACACAUGAUGUCAUAAUACUUAUGCCUAUUCUCUCUUAUUUUACAAGGUUUACAUGAAGAGGGAGAAUGUCGGCAGCUGGGAUUCUGGGCUGGAAAAGGAGCAAAUAUUAGAGACCCAUUCUGCAUAGCUCCAAAAGUCCUGAAACUUCACGGAAAUUAUUUCCAGAAUAUAUAAAAAAUACUGAGCGCAAGAAUUACCAGAGGGGGGCCACGCACCAGCCACGAGGGUGGGGGGGCGCGCCCUACCCCCCUGGGCGCGCCCCCUGCCUCGUGGGCCCCCUGGUGGCCCUCCGAUGCCCAUCUUCUGCUAUAUGAAGUCUUUCAUCCGAGAAAAAAUCAUAAGCAAGCUUACGGGACGAAACUCCGCCUCCACGAGGCGGAACCUUGGCGGAACCAAUCUAGGGCUCCGGCAGAGCCGUUCUGUCGGGGCCACUUCCCUCCGGGAGGGGGAAAUCAUCACCAUCGUCAUCACCAACGAUCCUCUCAUCGGGAGGGGGUCAAUCUCCAUCAACAUCUUCACCAGCACCAUCUCAUCUCAAACCCCAUUUCAUCUCUUGUAUCCAAUCUUUGUAUCCAAACCUCAGAUUGGUACGUGUGGGUUGCUAGUAGUGUUGAUUACUCCUUGUAGUUGAUGCUAGUUGGUUUACUUGGUGGAAGAUCAUAUGUUCAGAUCCAUUAUGCAUAUUAAUACCCCUCUGAUUAUGAACAUGAAUAUGCUUUAUGAGUAGUUACAUUUGUUCCUGAGGACAUUGGAGAAGUCUGGCUAUUAGUAGUCAUGUGAAUUUGGUAUUCGUUCGAUAUUUUGAUGAGAUGUAUGUUGUCAUCCCUCUAGUGGUGUCAUGUGAACGUCGACUACAUGACACUUCACCAUUGUUUGGGCCUAGAGGGAGGCAUUGGGAAGUAAUAAGUAGAUGAUGGGUUGCUAGAGUGACAGAAGCUUAAACCCUAGUUUAUGCGUUGCUUCGUAAGGGGCUGAUUUGGAUCCAUAUGUUUCAUGUUGUGGUUAGGUUUACCUUAAUACUUCUUUUGUAGUUGCGGAUGCUUGCAAUAGGAGUUAGUCAUAAGUGGGAUGUUUGUCCAAGUAAGGACAACACCCAAGAACCGGUCCACCCACAUAUCAAAUUAUCAAAGUACUGAAUGCGAAUCAUAUGAACGUGAUGAAAACUAGCUUGACGAUAAUUUCCAUGCAUGUAUCCUCGGGAGCGCUUUCCUUCAUAUAAGAGUUUUUCCAGGCUUGUCCUUUGCUACAAAAAGGAUUGAGCCAUCUUGCUGCACCUUAUUUACUUUUAUUACUUGCUACUCGUUACAAAUUACCUUAUCACAAAACUAUCUGUUACCGAUAAUUUCAGUGCUUGCAGAGAAUACCUUGCUGAAAACCGCUUAUCAUUUCCUUCUGCUCCUCGUUGGGUUCGACACUCUUACUUAUCGAAAAGGCUACGAUAGAUCCCCUACACUUGUGGGUCAUCAAGACUCUUUUCUGGCGCCAUUGCUGGGGAGUGAAGCUCCUUUGGUAGGUGGAAUUUGGUAAGGAAAAAUUUAUAUAGUGUGCUGAAAUUUACUGUCACUUGUUACCAUGGAACAUAAUCCUUUGUGGGGUUUGUUCGGGGUAUCUUCACCUCGUCCGGAACCACAAUUAGUUACCACUCAACCUACUGAACCUACUGAAAAAUGUUUACUUUGAAAUUCCUUCGGGUAUGAUAGAGAAACUGCUAGCUAAUCCUUUUACAGGAGAGGGAACAUUGCAUCCCGAUUUGCACUUAAUCUAUGUGGAUGAAGAUAGUGGAUUAUUUAAGCUUGCAGGUAUGCCCGAUGAUGUUAUCAAGAAGAAGGUCUUUCCUUUAUCUUUGAAGGGAGAUGCAUUGACAUAGUAUAGGCUAUGUGAUGAUAUGGUAUCAUGGGACUAUAAGCGAUUGAAAUUGGAAUUUCACCAGAAGUUUUAUCCUAUGCAUCUUGUCAUCGUGAUCGUAAUUUUAUAUAUAAUUUUUGGCCUCGCGAAGGAGAAAUCAUCGCUCAAGCUUGGGGGAGGCUUAAGUCAAUGUUAUAUUCAUGCCCCAAUCAUGAGCUCUCAAGAGAAAUGAUUAUUCAAAAAAAUUAUGCUCGACUUUCUGACAACAAUCGCUCCAUGCUCGAUACUUCUUGUACUUGUUCCUUUAUGAUGAAGACUAUUGAACUCAAAUGGAAUUUAUUGGAGAGAAUUAAACGCAACUCUAAAGAUUGGGAUCUCGACAAAGGUAAGGAGUCAGGUAUAACACCUAAGUUUGAUUGUGUUAAAUCUUUUAUGGAUACCGAUGCUUUCCGUAAAUUUAGCACUAAAUAUGGACUUGACUCUGAGAUAGUAGCUUCUUUCUGUGAAUCCUUUGCUACUCAUGUUGAUAUCCCUAAGGAGAAGUGGUUUAAAUAUAAUCCUCCCAUUGAAGUAAAAGUAGUUGCACCUGUUAAAGUUGAAGAAAAGACUAUCACUUAUAAUGAUCCUAUAGUUCCUACUGCUUAUGUUGAGAAACCACCUUUCCCUGUUAGAAUUAAGGAUCAUGCUAAAGCUUCAACUGUAGUCAACAAGAGUAAUAUUAGGACACACAAACCCCUGAGCAAAUUAAAGUUGAACCUAAUAUUGCUAUGGUUAAAGAUCUCUUGUCGAUAAUAUUGAUGGGCAUGUUAUUUAUUUCUGUGAAGAAACUGCUAGAAUUGCUAAACCUGGUGCUAAAGAUAAACAUAGACCUGUGGUAGGCAUGCCUAUUAUUUUUGUUAAAAUAGGAGAUCGUUGUUAUCAUGGCUUGUGUGAUAUGUAUGCUAGUGCUAGUGCAAUACCUAUUUCCUUAUACAAAGAAAUUAUGCAUGAUAUUGCACCUGCUGAGAUAGAAGAUAUAGAUGUUACAAUUAAGCUUGCCAAUAGAGAUACUAUUUCACCAAUUGGGAUUGUUAGAGACGUUGAAGUCUUGUGUGGGAAGGCUAAAUAUCCUACUGAUUUCAUUGUUCUUGGUUCCCCUCAAGAUAGCUUUUGUCCCAUUAUAUUUGGUAGACCCUUCUUGAAUACUGUUAAUGCUAAGAUAGAUUGCAAGAAGGAUGUUGUUACUAUUGGUUUGGAUGAUAUGUCUCAUGAUUUUAAUUUUUCUAAAUUUCGUAGACAACCCCGUGAUGAAGAAUUGCCUAGUAAAGAUGAAAUUAUUGGUCUUGCUUCUAUUGUUGUGCCUCCUAAUGAUCCUUUAGAACAAUAUUUACUAGACCAUGAGAAUGACAUGUUUAUGAAUGAAAGAAGGGAAAUAGAUGAAGUAUUAUUUAAACAAGGACCCAUUCUGAAACACAAUUUGCCUGUUGAAAUCCUAGGGGAUCCUCCUCCACCCAAGGGUGAUCCCGUGUUUGAGCUUAAACCAUUGCCUGAUACUCUUAAAUAUGCUUAUCUUGACGAAAAGAAGAUAUAUCAUGUUAUUAUUAGUGCUAACCGUUCAGAGCAUGAAGAAAAUAAAUUAUUGAAAACUCUGAAGAAGCACCGUGCUGCUAUUGGAUAUACUCUUGAUGAUCUUAAGGGCAUUAGUCUCACUCUAUGUCAACACAAAAUAAAUUUGGAAAAAGAUGCCAAACCAGUUAUUGAUCACCAACGACGGCUAAACCCUAAGAUGAAAGAAGUGGUAAGAAAGGAAAUAUUAAAACUCCUUGAGGUAGGUAUAAUUUAUCCAGUUGCUGAUAGUCAGUGGGUAAGUCCUGUCCAUUGUGUCCCUAAGAAGGGAGGUAUUACUGUUGUUCCUAAUGAUAAAGAUGAAUUGAUCUCGCAAAGAAUUAUUACAGGUUAUAGGAUGGUAAUUGAUUUCCAUAAAUUAAAUAAAGCUACUAAAAAAGAUCAUUACCCUUUGCCUUUUAUUGAUCAAAUGCUAGAAAGAUUAUCCAAACAUACACAUUUUUGCUUUCGAGAUGGUUACUCUGGCUUCUCUCAAAUACAUGUGUCAGCUGAUGAUCAAGCAAAUACCACUUUUACUUGCCCUUUCGGUACUUUUGCUUAUAGACGUACGCCUUUUGGUUUAUGUAAUGCACUUGCUACCUUUCAAAGAUGCAUGAUGGCUAUAUUUUCUGACUUUUGUGAAAAGAUAUGCGAGGUUUUCAGGGACGAUUUCUCUGUUUAUGGAUCAUCUUUUGGUGAUUGCUUGAGCAACCUUGAUCGAGUUUUGCAGAGAUGUGAAGAAACUAAUCUUGUUCUGAAUUGGGAGAAAUGCCACUUUAUGGUUAAUGAAGGUAUUGUCUUGGGGCAUAAAAUUUCUGAAAGAGGCAUUGAAGUUGACAAAGCUAAAGUUGAUGCUAUUGAAAAGAUGCCAUGUCCCAAGGACAUUAAAGGUAUAAGAAGCUUCCUCGGUCAUGCCAGUUUUAUAGGAGGUUCAUUAAGGACUUCUCAAAAAUUUCUCGGCCUCUGACUAAUCUAUUACAAAAAGAUAUCCCUUUUGUCUUUGAUGAUGAUUGUGUAGAAGCAUUUGAAAUACUUAAGAAAGCAUUGAUUUAUGCACCUAUUGUUCAGCCACCUGAUUGGAAUUUACCCUUUGAAAUUAUGUGUGAUGCUAGUGAUUAUGAUGUAGGUGAUGUUCUAGGGCAAAGAGUUGAUAAGAAAUUAAAUGUUAUUCAAAAUGCUAGUAAAACUCUAGACAAUGCCAAAAAAAUUGUGCUACCACUGAAAAAGAAUUUUUAGCAGUUGUAUUUGCUUGUGAUAAGUUCAGACCUUAUAUUGUUGAUUCUAAAGUAACUAUUCACACUGAUCAUGCUGUUAUUAAAUAUCUUAUGGAAAAGAAAGAUGCUAAACCUAGAAUUAUUAGAUGGGUUCUCUUGCUACAAGAAUUUGAUUUGCAUAUUAUUGAUAGAAAGGGAGCUGAGAACCCUGUUGCAGACAACUUAUCUAGGUUAGAAAAUGUUCUUGGUGACCCACGACCUAUUGAUGAUAGCUUUCCUGAUGAACAGUUAAAUGUCAGAAAUGCUUCUCGUAUUGCUCCGUGGUAUGUUGAUUAUGCUAAUUAUAUUGUUGCUAAAUUUAUACCACCUAGUUUCACAUACCAACAAAAGAAAAGGUUCUUCUAUGAUUUAAGGCAUUACUUUUGGGAUGACCCACAUCUUUAUAAAGAAGGAGUAGAUGGUGUUAUUAGACGUUGUGUACCUGAGCAUGAACAAGAACAGAUCAUACGCAAGUGUCACUCCAAAGCCUAUGGGGGACACCAUGCUGGAGAUAGAACUGCACAUAAGGUAUUGCAAUCCUGUUUUUAUUGGCCUAUUCUCUUCAAGGAUGCCCGUAAGUUUGUCUUGUCUUGUGAUGAAUGUCAAAGAAUUGGUAAUAUUAGUAGACGUCAAGAAAUGCCUAUGAAUUAUUCACUUGUUAUUGAACCAUUUGAUGUUUGGGGCUUUGAUUAUAUGGGACCUUUUCCUUCCUCUAACGCGUAUACACAUAUUUUAGUCGCUGUUGAUUACGUUACUAAGUGGGUAGAAGCUAUUCCAACUAGUAGUGCUGAUCAUAACACCUCUAGUAAGAUGCUUAAAGAAGUUAUUUUCCCGAGGUUUGGAGUCCCUAGAUAUUUAAUGACUGAUGGUGGCUCACAUUUUAUUCAUGAUGCCUUUCAUAAAAUGCUUGCUAAGUAUGAUGUUAAUCAUAGAAUUGCAUCUCCAUAUCACCCACAGUCUAGUGGUCAAGUAGAAUUGAGUAACAGAGAGCUCAAAUUAAUUUGCAAAAGACUGUUGAUAGAUCUAGAAAGAAUUGGUCCAAGAAACUUGAUGAUGCACUAUGGGCCAAUAGAACUGCAUACAAAAAUCCUAUGGGUAUGUCUCCGUAUAAAAUGGUUUAUGGUAAAGCAUGUCACUUACCUCUCGAAUUAGAACAUAAGGCAUAUUGGGCUAUUAAAGAGCUCAACUAUGACUUCAAACUUGCUGGUGAGAAGAGGCUUUUUGACAUUAGCUCACUUGAUGAAUGGAGAACCCAGGCUUAUGAAAAUGCUAAGUUGUUUAAAGAAAAAGUUAAAAGAUGGCAUGAUAAAAGGAUACAAAAGCGUGAGUUCAAUGUAGGUGAUUAUGUAUUGCUAUACAACUCUCGUUUAAGAUUUUUUGCAGGCAAACUUCUCUCUAAAUGGGAAGGUCCUUACGUUACCGAGGAGGUCUAUUGUUCCGGUGCCAUAAAAAUCAACAACUUUGAAGGCACAAAUCUGAGCAUGGUGAACUGUCAAAGAAUCGAACAUUAUAUCUCAGGUAACCCCAUAAAUGUUGAAACUAAUGUUAUUGAAACCGUAACCCUGGAGGAAUACAUAAGGGACACUUCCCAGAAUGUUUCAGACCCCGAAAAGGAAUAGGUAUGUGGUACGGUAAGUAAACCGACUCCAAAACAGUUAUAAUGGCAAUUUUCCCUGUUUUGGAAUAUUUAGAAAAAUAGGAAAAUAAGAAGCAGUUCGGGAAGGACACGAAGCUUCCACGAGGGUGGGAGGCGCGCCCUACCCCCCUGGGCGCGCCCCCUGCCUCGUGGGCACCUCAUGUGCUCUCUGGACUCCGUUUUCUUGCACGAUACUUCUAUUGGUCGGUAAAAAAUCAUUAUAUAAUCUCCCGAAGGUUUUGACCAGCAUAUCACGCAAAUAUCUCUUGUCUUUGUUUCGAGCUGUUUUUCUGACAGAUCUAGGUCGUCAUGUCGUCUUCAAGUGCCCCCAAGGACAAGUUCUUCGAGAAGGUCAUCAACCCCUACCUCGCGGAGGUGCUGCAACACCCUCAAACCAUUGAGAUGCGUGAGGGGUUGUUGCACAUCCACGAUGUUGAGGGACCAAGGAGGAUCGGAAGCACGGAGGCAAGGCUCGAGGCAUUGGAGCAACAAGUUUUCAAGUGUCAGGAGAUGGUGGAGCAUGGACUCGACUCCAAUCACAUUAUGAUCAUGGAGUUCACCAACAACCACAAGCUGGACGUCAGGGACAUUGGGGAGGCCAUCUUCAAGCUUCAUGAGAAAAUCGAGCACCUCCAAGCCCAGAUCUAUGACCCGCAAAAUCAAAACUGUGAGUAUGAAUAUAUAUUCAAGAGGAUGAGUUUGGCUGCAGAUUUGAGGAUUUAGGAGACUCGAUCAUCCUUCUAUGAUGGUGAGCCUAUGCAUUGGAAGAGGGACGACAAGCCUACAUCAUCAACAACUCCACCUUCUUCACCAACAAAGAAGAACUGAGUAUCGGGUAUGGGCACUCCCCUUGGCAACUGCCAAGCUUGGGGGAGUGCCCCGGUAUCGUAUCACCAUCACAACUUUUAUCUUUACCGUUUUUCUUAGUUCGAUCAUUUUGAUAAUAUCUUGAUAUAGUAGAAUAAAGUUUUAGUAUGAUCUAGUUGUGAGUUUUGCUUUAUGAUCCUUCUAUGUAAUCGAGUCUGUGAGCUAUAUAAUAGAGAUUAGUGUUGAGUCAAGGGCCUGGUUAUUUUUCUAUGAUAUUGAGGGAAUAAAAUAAAAAGAGAAAGAAAUAAAGAGAUCAUAUGGAUCUUAUAGAGAAUAAUGAGCUCACAUAUAAAGAGUAUGAUGAAUAAAAGUUGUUGAGAGUUAACAAACAUAGUUUUGGUCAUCAUUGCAAUUAAUAGGAAGUAAUAAAGAAAGAGAGGUUCACAUAUAAAUAUACUAUCUUGGACAUCUUUUAUGAUUGUGAGCACUCAUGAAAGUAUGGUAUGCUAAAGAGUUGACGUUGGACAAGGAAGACAACGUAAUGGGUUAUGUUUUCUUUCAUCUAAGAUAAAUUAUAUUGUCAUGGAUCAUCCAACAUGUUGAUCUUGCCUUUCUCCCUCAUGCUAGCCAAUUCUUUUGCACCAAGUAGAAAUACCACUUGUGCUUCCAAAUACCCUUAAAACCAGUUUUGCCAUGAGAGUCCACCAUAUCUACCUAUGGAUUGAGUAAGAUCCUUCAAGUAAGUUAUCAUCGGUGCAAGCAAUAAAAAAUGCUCUCUAAAUAUGCAUGACAUAUUAGUGUGGGAGAAAAUAAGCUUUAUACGAUCUUGUGAUGUGGAAGAAAUAAAAGCGACGGACUGCAUAAUAAAGGUCCAUAUCACAAGUGGCAAUAUAAAGUGACGUUAUUUUGCAUUAAGAUUUUGUGCAUCCAACCAUAAAAGCGCAUGACAACCUCUGCUUCCCUCUGCGAAGGGCCUAUCUUUUACUUUUAUCUUCUACCUUAUAUAAGAGUCAUGGUGAUCUUCACCUUUCCUUUUACAUUUUAUCCUUUGGCAAGCACAAUGUGUUGGAAAGAUCCUGAUAUAUAUAGCUAAUUGGAUGUGAGUCUUCAUGAACUAUUAUUGUUGACAUUACCCUUGAGGUAAAACGUUGGGAGGCAAAACUAUAAGCCCCUAUCUUUCUCUGUGUCCAAUUAAAACUUCAUACCCAUAAAUAUUGCGUGAGUGUUAGCAAUUGUGAAAUACUAAAAGAUGGUUGAGUAUGUGGACUUGCUGAAAAGUUCUUAUAUUGACUCUUUCCUAUGUUAUGAUAAAUUGCAAUUGCCUCAAUGACUGAGAUUAGAGUUUGUUGGUUCUCAAUGAAGUUUAUGAUUCAUACUUGAAAUUGUGAUUGAAUUGUUACUUUAGCAUAAAGAUCAUAUGAAAAAAAAUUGUUGUUCUAAGAACGAUCAUGAUGCCCUCAUGUCUGUAUUUUAUUUUUAUCGACACCUCUAUCUCUAAACACGUGGACAUAUUUUUUGAUUUCGGCUUUCGCUUGAGGACAAGCGAGGUCUAAGUUUGGGGGAGUUGAUACGUCCCUUUUGCAUCAUGCUUUUAUAUCGAUAUUUAUUGCAUUAUGGGUUGUUAUUACACAUUAUAUUACAAUACUUAUGCCUAUUCUCUCUUAUUUUACAAGGUUUACAUGAAGAGGGAGAAUGUCGGUAGCUAGGAUUCUGGGCUGGAAAAGGAGCAAAUAUUAGAGACAUAUUCUGCACAGCUCCAAAAGUCCUGAAACUUCAUGGAAGUAAUUUCCAGAAUAUAUAAAAAAUACUGAGCGCAAGAAGUACCAGAGGGGGGCCACCCACUAGCCACGAGGGUGGGGGCGCGCCCUACCCCCUAGGCACGCCCCCCUGCCUCGUGGCCCCCUGGUGGCCCUCCGAUGCUCAUCUUCUGCUAUAUGAAGUCUUUCGUCCGAGAAAAAAUCAUAAGAAAGCUUACGGGACAAAAGUCCGCCACCACGAGGCGGAACCAAUCUAGGGCUCCGGCAGAGCUGUUCUGCCGGGGACACUUCCCUCCGGGAGGAGGAAAUCAUCACCAUCGUCAUCACCAACAAUCCUCUCAUCGUGAGGGGGUCAAUCUCCAUCAGCAUCUUCACCAGCACCAUCUCAUCUCAAACCCUAGUUCACCUCUUGUAUCCAAUCUUUGUAUCCAAACCUCAGAUUGGUACCUAUGGGUUGCUAGUAGUGUUGAUUACUCCUUGUAGUUGAUGCUAGUUGGUUUACUUGGUGGAAGAUCAUAUGUUCAGAUCCAUUAUGCAUAUUAAUACCCCUCUGAUUAUGAACAUGAAUAUGCUUUGUGAGUAGUUACAUUUGUUCCUGGGGACAUGGGAGAAGUCUGGCUAUUAGUAGUCAUGUGAAUUUGGUAUUCGUUCGAUAUUUUGAUGAGAUGUAUGUUGUCAUCCCUCUAGUGGUGUCAUGUGAACGUCGACUACAUGACACUUCACCAUUGUUUGGGCCUAGAGGGAGGCAUUGGGAAGUAAUAAGUAGAUGAUGGGUUGCUAGAGUGACAGAAGCUUAAACCCUAGUUUAUGCGUUGCUUCGUAAGGGGUUGAUUUGGAUCCAUAUGUUUCAUGAUGUGGUUAGGUUUACCUUAAUACUUCUUUUGUAGUUGUGGAUGCUUGCAAUAGGAGUUAAUCAUAAGUGGGAUGUUUGUCCAAGUAAGGACAACACCCAAGCACCGGUCCACCCACAUAUCAAAUUAUCAAAGUAUUGAACGCGAAUCAUAUGAACGUGAUAAAAACUAGCUUGACGAUAAUUCCCAUGUGUCCUCGGGAGCGCUUUCCUUCAUAUAAGAGUUUGUCCAGGCUUGUCCUUUGCUACAAAAAGGAUUGGGCCAUCUUGCCGCACCUUAUUUACUUUUAUUACUUGCUACUCAUUACAAAUUACCUUAUCACAAAACUAUCUGUUACCGAUAAUUUCAGUGCUUGUAGAGAACACCUUGCUGAAAACCGCUUAUAAUUUCCUUUUGCUCCUCGUUGGGUUUGACACUCUUACUUAUCGAAAAGGCUACGAUAGAUCCUACACUUGUGGGUCAUCAAGGAACUUCCCUCCUGGAGGGGGAAAUCAUCAUCAUCAUCAUGACCAACAACUCUUCCAUCUUGGGGAGGGCAAUCUCCAUCAACAUCUUGAACAACACCAUCUCAUCUCAAACCCUAGUUCAUCUCUUGUGUUCAAUCUUGCUACCGGAAUUAUAGAUUUGUGCUUGUGGGUGACUAGUAGUGUUGAUUACAUCUUGUAGUUGAUUACUAUAUGGUUUAUCUGCUGGAAGAUUAUAUGUUCAGAUCCAAUAGGCUAUUUAAUACCCCUCUGAUCUUGAGCGUGAUUAUCAUUUGUGAGUAGUUAUUUGUUCUUGAGGUCAUGGGAGAAAUCAUGUUGCAAGUAAUCAUCUGAACUUGAUAUGUGUUCGAUAUUUUGAUAGUAUGUAUGUUGUGAUUCCCUUAGUGGAGUCAUGUGAACGUCGACUACAUGACACUUCACCAUAUUUGGGCCUAAGGGAAUGCAUUGUGGAGUAGCAAUUAGAUGAUGGGUUGCGAGAGUAACAGAAGCUUAAACCCCAGUUAAUGCGCUAUUCCGUAAGGGACCGAUUGGAUCCAAAAGUUUAAUGCUAUGGUUAGAAUUUAUUCUUAAUACUUUUCUCAUAGUUGUGGAUGCUUGCGGGGGGGGNNNNNNNNNNNNNNNNNNNNNNNNNNNNNNNNNNNNNNNNNNNNNNNNNNNNNNNNNNNNNNNNNNNNNNNNNNNNNNNNNNNNNNNNNNNNNNNNNNNNNNNNNNNNNNNNNNNNNNNNNNNNNNNNNNNNNNNNNNNNNNNNNNNNNNNNNNNNNNNNNNNNNNNNNNNNNNNNNNNNNNNNNNNNNNNNNNNNNNNNNNNNNNNNNNNNNNNNNNNNNNNNNNNNNNNNNNNNNNNNNNNNNNNNNNNNNNNNNNNNNNNNNNNNNNNNNNNNNNNNUCAUAAGUAGGAGGUUUGUUCAAGUAAGUAUAACACCUAAGCACCGGUCCACCUACAUAUCAAAUUAUCAAAGUACCGAACACGAAUUAAACCAACAUGAUGAAAGUGACUAGAUGAAAAUCCUGUGUACCCUCAAGAACGCUUUUCUUAUCAUAAGAGACCGUUUUGGCCUGUCCUUUGCCUAAAAAAGGAUUGGGCUACCUUGCUGCACUUUUAUUGCUACUAUCGUUACUUGCUCGUUACAAAUUAUCUUGCUAUCAAACUACUCCGCUACUUACAAUUUCAGCACUUGCAGAUAUUACCUUGUUGAAAACCACUUGUCAUUUCCUUCUGCUCCUUGCUGGGUUCGACACUCUUACUUACCGAAAAGAGCUAUAAUUGAUCCCCUAUACAUGUGGGUCAUCAGAUAGCUGUCCUGGUGUGGGAUAUUAGUUGUAGAUGCGGUUAGAUAACGGUCUAUUCACGGACGUAAUUCUUAUACAAGAUUAUGCAAUAAAUGACCGUAGUCAUAAAUACUAGUAUUGUAAUCGAUGCCCACUAUAAUUUGUUCACCACACCACACUUAUUUGCUUAGAGAGACGUCACUAGUGAACCUAUGGCCCCGGGGUUCUAUUUUCCAUUAUUGAAAACAUCUACAAAAAUAUCAUUCUUUGUUGUACCGUUUUAUUUUAUUAUCUAUCAAUUCCUACCAUGCCAUGCAAUUUACCUUUGUAAGUAGCAGGACAAGAAUCAUGAUAACCUUCUUGAAAUGUUGGAUCAAGAUAGGGGCGAAGAUAGGAAAAAAGGUCAUCGGAGUCAACACGAACAAGCAGUACUAAUGUAGGCCCUCAAAAACAAGGAAAGAUAAUGUAUGGCUAAAAAUGUGCAACCCAUAUUGAGUACCAUGUUUAUUAUGUUUUUAGUAACCUCACAUUAAAUAAGACAUCAUAGUUGUCAAUGUAUCAUAACAAAAUAAGCUCUGGUUACAAAAAUAGUCAUUUCUCUAUUUUUUUCUUGACCUCCCUGAUCUUUUAUCUUCAAAAAGUAAAAUUCAUUUUGAUGGGAUGUGACUUGACGCUUAAUCUAGAUUUGCAUAAUCCAUGCGAUUGGAUUAUCCAUCGAGACCUUCAAGCAAUUAUAAGAAAAAAAAUCAACACGUUAAACAAACCCUAAGAUUAUAGGACAAUAAGAAUUUUUAGAUAAUAAGAGAAUAGGAAUUAUAAGAAGAAAUCGGCUUUAGUGUCACUUAGAGAUUGAAUCUGCAGAACGAAUCUUGACUACUUAUAGAAGAGAGGAGUGGAGAU
RNAcentral lists this long non-coding RNA (15074 nucleotides) under Triticum aestivum (bread wheat). RNAcentral describes it as "long non-coding RNA (TAES_LNC020985)". The record is from RNAcentral. Lineage: Eukaryota; Viridiplantae; Streptophyta; Magnoliopsida; Poales; Poaceae.